AUGUACAUGCUUACAACAUAGAAUUUAUGCACUAGAUCCCAUUAGAACUCCGUAGUGAAGCGUGCUUGGGCUAGAGUAGUAUUGGGAUGGUGACUGCCUGGGAAUUCCUAGUAUUUUACAUU
Molecule: non-coding RNA, 122 nt
Organism: Picea glauca (white spruce)
Lineage: Eukaryota; Viridiplantae; Streptophyta; Pinopsida; Pinales; Pinaceae
Source: Rfam